RNAcentral lists this ribosomal RNA (460 nucleotides) under uncultured bacterium. RNAcentral describes it as "partial 16S ribosomal RNA". It matches the Rfam family "Bacterial small subunit ribosomal RNA", at positions 338 to 795 of the family's 1533-position model. The record is from RNAcentral.
CCUACGGGAGGCAGCAGUGAGGAAUAUUGGUCAAUGGGCGAGAGCCUGAACCAGCCAAGUCGCGUGAAGGAUGACGGCCCUACGGGUCGUAAACCUCUUUUGUCAGGGAGCAAUUGCGUCCACGUGUGGGCUUAGCGAGAGUACCUGAAGAAAAAGCAUCGGCUAACUCCGUGCCAGCAGCCGCGGUAAUACGGAGGAUGCGAGCGUUAUCCGGAUUUAUUGGGUUUAAAGGGAGCGUAGGCGGAGUGUCAAGUUUGCGGGAAAAUUUCGGGGUUCAACCCGGCCGUGCCGGGGAAACUGGCGUGCGUGAGUCAGCGGAAAGCAAGCGGAAUUCGUCGUGUAGCGGUGAAAUGCUUAGAUAUCACGAAGAACGCCGAUUGCGAAGGCAGCUUGCUGCAGCGGAACUGACGCUGAGGCACGAAAGCGCGGGUAUCGAACAGGAUUAGAUACCCUGGUAGUC